This 78-nucleotide transfer RNA is filed under the name Cupriavidus numazuensis. RNAcentral describes it as "tRNA-Gly". The record is from RNAcentral. Lineage: Bacteria; Pseudomonadati; Pseudomonadota; Betaproteobacteria; Burkholderiales; Burkholderiaceae.
CGGGCGUUGAGCAUCUGGAAGGCCGAUGUCAUCUGGGGCCCAUCCAGAUAGCCCUGGUUCCACAUCAGGGCGUCCAGC